This 292-nucleotide ribosomal RNA is filed under the name uncultured bacterium. RNAcentral describes it as "partial 16S ribosomal RNA". It matches the Rfam family "Bacterial small subunit ribosomal RNA", at positions 505 to 796 of the family's 1533-position model. The record is from RNAcentral.
GUGUCAGCCGCCGCGGUAAUACGGAGGAUGCAAGCGUUAUCCGGAAUGAUUGGGCGUAAAGCGUCCGCAGGUGGCUAUGUAAGUCUGCUGUUAAAGAGUCUAGCUCAACUAGAUAAGAGCAGUGGAAACUACAUGGCUAGAGUGCGUUCGGGGCAGAGGGAAUUCCUGGUGUAGCGGUGAAAUGCGUAGAGAUCAGGAAGAACACCGGUGGCGAAGGCGCUCUGCUAGGCCGCAACUGACACUGAGGGACGAAAGCUAGGGGAGCGAAUGGGAUUAGAAACCCCUGUAGUCC